GAUGAACCCUAGCUACAGGCUUAACACAUGCAAGUCGAGGGGUAACGAGAGGAAAGCUUGCUUUCCUUGUUGACGACCGGCGCACGGGUGAGUAACGCGUAUCCAACCUGCCCCCAACUAGGGAAUAACCUUGCGAAGGUAAGACUAAUACCCUAUAAUUUCCUCAGAUGUCAUCUGACGAGGAAUAAAGAUUUAUCGGUUGUGGAUGGGGAUGCGUCUGAUUAGCUUGUUGGCGGGGUAACGGCCCACCAAGGCAACGAUCAGUAGGGGUUCUGAGAGGAAGGUCCCCCACAUUGGAACUGAGACACGGUCCAAACUCCUACGGGAGGCAGCAGUGAGGAAUAUUGGUCAAUGGGCGGAAGCCUGAACCAGCCAAGUAGCGUGCAGGAUGACGGCCCUAUGGGUUGUAAACUGCUUUUAUACAGGAAUAAAGUUAGCCACGUGUGGUUAUUUGUAGGUACUGUAUGAAUAAGGACCGGCUAAUUCCGUGCCAGCCGCCGCCGUAA
Molecule: ribosomal RNA, 506 nt
Filed under: uncultured bacterium
Lineage: Bacteria
Description: partial 16S ribosomal RNA
Rfam family: Bacterial small subunit ribosomal RNA
Source: RNAcentral